Molecule: ribosomal RNA, 669 nt
Filed under: Xanthomonas sp. EECC-445
Lineage: Bacteria; Pseudomonadati; Pseudomonadota; Gammaproteobacteria; Lysobacterales; Lysobacteraceae
Description: bacterial SSU rRNA
Rfam family: Bacterial small subunit ribosomal RNA
Source: RNAcentral
UGGGUGGCGAGUGGCGGACGGGUGAGGAAUACAUCGGAAUCUACCUUUUCGUGGGGGACAACGUAGGGAAACUUACGCUAAUACCGCAUACGACCUUAGGGUGAAAGCGGAGGACCUUCGGGCUUCGCGCGGAUAGAUGAGCCGAUGUCGGAUUAGCUAGUUGGCGGGGUAAAGGCCCACCAAGGCGACGAUCCGUAGCUGGUCUGAGAGGAUGAUCAGCCACACUGGAACUGAGACACGGUCCAGACUCCUACGGGAGGCAGCAGUGGGGAAUAUUGGACAAUGGGCGCAAGCCUGAUCCAGCCAUGCCGCGUGGGUGAAGAAGGCCUUCGGGUUGUAAAGCCCUUUUGUUGGGAAAGAAAAGCAGUCGGUUAAUACCCGAUUGUUCUGACGGUACCCAAAGAAUAAGCACCGGCUAACUUCGUGCCAGCAGCCGCGGUAAUACGAAGGGUGCAAGCGUUACUCGGAAUUACUGGGCGUAAAGCGUGCGUAGGUGGUUGUUUAAGUCCGUUGUGAAAGCCCUGGGCUCAACCUGGGAAUUGCAGUGGAUACUGGGCAACUAGAGUGUGGUAGAGGAUGGCGGAAUUCCCGGUGUAGCAGUGAAAUGCGUAGAGAUCGGGAGGAACAUCUGUGGCGAAGGCGGCCAUCUGGACCAACACUGACACUGAG